GUCAAGCUGACGAGUCCCAAAUAGGACGAAACGUGCGUCCUUGUU
This 45-nucleotide non-coding RNA is filed under the name Schistosoma mansoni. The record is from RNAcentral. Lineage: Eukaryota; Metazoa; Platyhelminthes; Trematoda; Strigeidida; Schistosomatidae.